This 2902-nucleotide ribosomal RNA is filed under the name Escherichia coli. Its description in RNAcentral is "23S ribosomal RNA". It matches the Rfam family "Bacterial large subunit ribosomal RNA". The record is from RNAcentral. Lineage: Bacteria; Pseudomonadati; Pseudomonadota; Gammaproteobacteria; Enterobacterales; Enterobacteriaceae. RNAcentral also lists the same sequence under 4 other names.
UUAAGCGACUAAGCGUACACGGUGGAUGCCCUGGCAGUCAGAGGCGAUGAAGGACGUGCUAAUCUGCGAUAAGCGUCGGUAAGGUGAUAUGAACCGUUAUAACCGGCGAUUUCCGAAUGGGGAAACCCAGUGUGUUUCGACACACUAUCAUUAACUGAAUCCAUAGGUUAAUGAGGCGAACCGGGGGAACUGAAACAUCUAAGUACCCCGAGGAAAAGAAAUCAACCGAGAUUCCCCCAGUAGCGGCGAGCGAACGGGGAGCAGCCCAGAGCCUGAAUCAGUGUGUGUGUUAGUGGAAGCGUCUGGAAAGGCGCGCGAUACAGGGUGACAGCCCCGUACACAAAAAUGCACAUGCUGUGAGCUCGAUGAGUAGGGCGGGACACGUGGUAUCCUGUCUGAAUAUGGGGGGACCAUCCUCCAAGGCUAAAUACUCCUGACUGACCGAUAGUGAACCAGUACCGUGAGGGAAAGGCGAAAAGAACCCCGGCGAGGGGAGUGAAAAAGAACCUGAAACCGUGUACGUACAAGCAGUGGGAGCACGCUUAGGCGUGUGACUGCGUACCUUUUGUAUAAUGGGUCAGCGACUUAUAUUCUGUAGCAAGGUUAACCGAAUAGGGGAGCCGAAGGGAAACCGAGUCUUAACUGGGCGUUAAGUUGCAGGGUAUAGACCCGAAACCCGGUGAUCUAGCCAUGGGCAGGUUGAAGGUUGGGUAACACUAACUGGAGGACCGAACCGACUAAUGUUGAAAAAUUAGCGGAUGACUUGUGGCUGGGGGUGAAAGGCCAAUCAAACCGGGAGAUAGCUGGUUCUCCCCGAAAGCUAUUUAGGUAGCGCCUCGUGAAUUCAUCUCCGGGGGUAGAGCACUGUUUCGGCAAGGGGGUCAUCCCGACUUACCAACCCGAUGCAAACUGCGAAUACCGGAGAAUGUUAUCACGGGAGACACACGGCGGGUGCUAACGUCCGUCGUGAAGAGGGAAACAACCCAGACCGCCAGCUAAGGUCCCAAAGUCAUGGUUAAGUGGGAAACGAUGUGGGAAGGCCCAGACAGCCAGGAUGUUGGCUUAGAAGCAGCCAUCAUUUAAAGAAAGCGUAAUAGCUCACUGGUCGAGUCGGCCUGCGCGGAAGAUGUAACGGGGCUAAACCAUGCACCGAAGCUGCGGCAGCGACGCUGAUGCGUUGUUGGGUAGGGGAGCGUUCUGUAAGCCUGCGAAGGUGUGCUGUGAGGCAUGCUGGAGGUAUCAGAAGUGCGAAUGCUGACAUAAGUAACGAUAAAGCGGGUGAAAAGCCCGCUCGCCGGAAGACCAAGGGUUCCUGUCCAACGUUAAUCGGGGCAGGGUGAGUCGACCCCUAAGGCGAGGCCGAAAGGCGUAGUCGAUGGGAAACAGGUUAAUAUUCCUGUACUUGGUGUUACUGCGAAGGGGGGACGGAGAAGGCUAUGUUGGCCGGGCGACGGUUGUCCCGGUUUAAGCGUGUAGGCUGGUUUUCCAGGCAAAUCCGGAAAAUCAAGGCUGAGGCGUGAUGACGAGGCACUACGGUGCUGAAGCAACAAAUGCCCUGCUUCCAGGAAAAGCCUCUAAGCAUCAGGUAACAUCAAAUCGUACCCCAAACCGACACAGGUGGUCAGGUAGAGAAUACCAAGGCGCUUGAGAGAACUCGGGUGAAGGAACUAGGCAAAAUGGUGCCGUAACUUCGGGAGAAGGCACGCUGAUAUGUAGGUGAAGUCCCUUGCGGAUGGAGCUGAAAUCAGUCGAAGAUACCAGCUGGCUGCAACUGUUUAUUAAAAACACAGCACUGUGCAAACACGAAAGUGGACGUAUACGGUGUGACGCCUGCCCGGUGCCGGAAGGUUAAUUGAUGGGGUCAGCGCAAGCGAAGCUCUUGAUCGAAGCCCCGGUAAACGGCGGCCGUAACUAUAACGGUCCUAAGGUAGCGAAAUUCCUUGUCGGGUAAGUUCCGACCUGCACGAAUGGCGUAAUGAUGGCCAGGCUGUCUCCACCCGAGACUCAGUGAAAUUGAACUCGCUGUGAAGAUGCAGUGUACCCGCGGCAAGACGGAAAGACCCCGUGAACCUUUACUAUAGCUUGACACUGAACAUUGAGCCUUGAUGUGUAGGAUAGGUGGGAGGCUUUGAAGUGUGGACGCCAGUCUGCAUGGAGCCGACCUUGAAAUACCACCCUUUAAUGUUUGAUGUUCUAACGUUGACCCGUAAUCCGGGUUGCGGACAGUGUCUGGUGGGUAGUUUGACUGGGGCGGUCUCCUCCUAAAGAGUAACGGAGGAGCACGAAGGUUGGCUAAUCCUGGUCGGACAUCAGGAGGUUAGUGCAAUGGCAUAAGCCAGCUUGACUGCGAGCGUGACGGCGCGAGCAGGUGCGAAAGCAGGUCAUAGUGAUCCGGUGGUUCUGAAUGGAAGGGCCAUCGCUCAACGGAUAAAAGGUACUCCGGGGAUAACAGGCUGAUACCGCCCAAGAGUUCAUAUCGACGGCGGUGUUUGGCACCUCGAUGUCGGCUCAUCACAUCCUGGGGCUGAAGUAGGUCCCAAGGGUAUGGCUGUUCGCCAUUUAAAGUGGUACGCGAGCUGGGUUUAGAACGUCGUGAGACAGUUCGGUCCCUAUCUGCCGUGGGCGCUGGAGAACUGAGGGGGGCUGCUCCUAGUACGAGAGGACCGGAGUGGACGCAUCACUGGUGUUCGGGUUGUCAUGCCAAUGGCACUGCCCGGUAGCUAAAUGCGGAAGAGAUAAGUGCUGAAAGCAUCUAAGCACGAAACUUGCCCCGAGAUGAGUUCUCCCUGACCCUUUAAGGGUCCUGAAGGAACGUUGAAGACGACGACGUUGAUAGGCCGGGUGUGUAAGCGCAGCGAUGCGUUGAGCUAACCGGUACUAAUGAACCGUGAGGCUUAACCUU